UACGGAGGGUGCAAGCAUUGAUCGGAAUUACUGGGCGUAAAGGGCGCGUAGGCGGCCGAGAAAGUCAGAUGUGAAAUUCCGGGGCUCAACCCCGGAGCUGCAUUUGAAACUUCUCGGCUAGAGGAUGGUUAGGGAAAACGGAAUUCCACGUGUAGCGGUGAGAUGCGUAGAUAUGUGGAAGAACACCAGUGGUGAAGACGGUUUUCUGGGCCAAACCUGACGCUGAGGCGCGAAAGCUAGGGGAGCAAACAGG
RNAcentral lists this ribosomal RNA (253 nucleotides) under uncultured prokaryote. RNAcentral describes it as "partial 16S ribosomal RNA". It matches the Rfam family "Bacterial small subunit ribosomal RNA", at positions 524 to 776 of the family's 1533-position model. The record is from RNAcentral.